UGCUAGAUCAGGUCCAACCAAGAGAGUGA
RNAcentral lists this non-coding RNA (29 nucleotides) under Rattus norvegicus (Norway rat). The record is from RNAcentral. Lineage: Eukaryota; Metazoa; Chordata; Mammalia; Rodentia; Muridae.